Molecule: non-coding RNA, 124 nt
Organism: Triticum aestivum (bread wheat)
Lineage: Eukaryota; Viridiplantae; Streptophyta; Magnoliopsida; Poales; Poaceae
Source: Rfam
GAAAUACUUUCUUUGUCCGGAAAUACUUAGUCAAAGAAAUAAAUAUAUCUAGAUCUAUUAGUUCUAGAUACAUUCACUUUUAUCCAUUCCUAUGACAAGUAAUUCCGGACAAAGGAAGUAUAUA